RNAcentral lists this ribosomal RNA (422 nucleotides) under uncultured bacterium. Its description in RNAcentral is "bacterial SSU rRNA". It matches the Rfam family "Bacterial small subunit ribosomal RNA", at positions 355 to 774 of the family's 1533-position model. The record is from RNAcentral.
UGAGGAAUAUUGGGCAAUGCCCGCAAGGGUGACCCAGCAACGCCGCGUGGAGGAUGAAUGUCGUAAGAUUGUAAACUCCUGUUAGAGGGGAAGAAUAGUACCGGUUGGACCGGUAUAUGACUGUACCCUCAGAGAAAGCCCCGGCUAACUACGUGCCAGCAGCCGCGGUAAUACGUAGGGGGCAAGCGUUGUCCGGAUUUACUGGGUGUAAAGGGCGCGCAGGCGGGAUAAAAAGUCAGUGGUGAAAUCCUACAGCUUAACUGUAGAACUGCCUUUGAUACUUUUAUUCUUGAGUUCGGGAGAGAGUGACGCAAUUCCAGGUGUAGUGGUGAAAUACGUAGAUAUCUGGAAGAACACCAGUUGCGAAGGCGGUCUCUUGGUCCGACACUGACGCUGAGGCGCGAAAGCGUGGGGAGCAAACA